UACGAAGGGGGCUAGCGUUGUUCGGAAUUACUGGGCGUAAAGCGCACGUAGGCGGAUAUUUAAGUCAGGGGUGAAAUCCCGGGGCUCAACCUUGGAACUGCCUUUGAUACUGGAAAUCUUGAGUCCGGGAGAGGUGAGUGGAACUGCGAGUGUAGAGGUGAAAUUCGUAGAUAUUGGGAAGAACACCGGUGGCGAAGGCGGCUCACUGGCUCAUUACCGACGCUCAGGCGCGAUAGCGUGGGGAUCAAACAGG
This 253-nucleotide ribosomal RNA is filed under the name uncultured bacterium. RNAcentral's name for it is "partial 16S ribosomal RNA". It matches the Rfam family "Bacterial small subunit ribosomal RNA", at positions 524 to 776 of the family's 1533-position model. The record is from RNAcentral.